GCUACUACCGAUUGAAUGGUUUAGUGAGGACUCCUGAUUGGCGCCGCCGCCCCGGCAACGGAGCAGCGGACUGCCGAAAGGUUGUUCAAACUUGAUCAUUUAGAGGAAGUAAAAGUCGUAACAAGGUUUCCGUAGGUGAACCUGCAGAAGGACA
Molecule: unclassified non-coding RNA, 154 nt
Filed under: sea anemone metagenome
Description: partial contains small subunit ribosomal RNA and internal transcribed spacer 1
Rfam family: Eukaryotic small subunit ribosomal RNA
Source: RNAcentral